GACGAAGGGGGCUAGCGUUGCUCGGAAUCACUGGGCGUAAAGGGUGCGUAGGCGGGGCUUUAAGUCCGGGGUGAAAUCCUGGAGCUCAACUCCAGAACUGCCUUUGAUACUGAAGAUCUUGAGUUCGGGAGAGGUGAGUGGAACUGCGAGUGUAGAGGUGAAAUUCGUAGAUAUUCGCAAGAACACCAGUGGCGAAGGCGGCUCACUGGCCCGAUACUGACGCUGAGGCACGAAAGCGUGGGGAGCAAACAGG
This 253-nucleotide ribosomal RNA is filed under the name uncultured bacterium. Its description in RNAcentral is "partial 16S ribosomal RNA". It matches the Rfam family "Bacterial small subunit ribosomal RNA", at positions 524 to 776 of the family's 1533-position model. The record is from RNAcentral.